This 116-nucleotide non-coding RNA is filed under the name Pteridomonas danica. Lineage: Eukaryota; Dictyochophyceae; Pedinellales. The record is from RNAcentral.
UUAAUUUAAACUUUUUUUCCCUCUUCGACUUCGACCUUUCAUUUAAAUUUAUUGAGUGUGAUCGAAUGGGAAGGAAUAUGAGGGAAAUAGCUUAGCUAGUUAGCCGUUAGUUAGCC